This is a long non-coding RNA of Antechinus flavipes (yellow-footed antechinus), 866 nucleotides long. RefSeq lists it as uncharacterized. The transcript is spliced from 2 exons. The record is from RefSeq and is a predicted model, not a curated record. Lineage: Eukaryota; Metazoa; Chordata; Mammalia; Dasyuromorphia; Dasyuridae.
UUUUUUCAGGAUAAAUAAUUGGAAGCUGAGAGGAUUCCCCUCAAAUGAAGAAUGACUGAAUAUAUCAUGCCAGAAGUGGAUUAUUUCGGCAAUUGUACUGCAGGAAACAUAAUGGCCACUGCCUCGUGGAAUGCCUUCUAAAUGAAGAUGAUGUGGGGGCCUGCAGAUCAGGCUUUGUUUUAUUUUGCUGUGAACACAAGAUGUACCACUGAAAGAUGAGGAGGACUUUUGAAAACUUAGAAGUGAUCGAAAUGUGUUACUGACUGAAGCAACAAAAUACAUGAUACCUUGUUAUUUCCAUUCUCUAAAGUCAUGAAAGAAACCUUCCAAAAGAGAACAUGGGAUGCAAUAAAAAAAAGUAAGAUUCCCAACAUUUUGGCCAUAUUGCCAAUUCUUUCCCUGUCUACCUGUUUUCCCUUGAGCAAGACAAUUUCUCUCUUUGAACCUGUUUCCUUAUCUGAGAAUAUAAAGGUCUGUGUAGUUGAGCAGUGGCUCUUAAAUAUUUUAUUUUUCUGUCAUGAACUCUUUUAAUAUGGAGAAACUAUGGCUCUAUUUAUUGUUUUAAACUGAAUAAAUUUAAUUUAAAAGAACAAUAACAUUACUAGGACAAAUAUAAAUUUGUACACCUUUAUGAGAUUAAAAGGGAAUCCAAUUAUGUUGAAAUAUCAUUAUCAAAUUAUUUUUUAAUUCUUGAAUUCCAUACUAAAGAUCUCAAUGUUAGAGAUUAUCUAUGAUCCCUUCUUAUUGUAACAUUCUGUGAGAUUGAAUUAUAAUUUUUUUUCAAUUUUCCAGUGUAUGGAAACUAUUCAAUUUGCUUAUGGGUAUAUCAAGUCUAUUAAAUAAAAUGCCAAUGCUAUCUACAAUAA